CGUGUAGGCGGCUGAGCAAGUCAGAUGUGAAAUCCCUGGGCUUAACCCAGGAAGUGCAUUUGAAACUGUUCAGCUUGAGUAAGGAAGAGGGAAGUGGAAUUCCUGGUGUAGAGGUGAAAUUCGUAGAUAUCAGGAGGAACACCGGUGGCGAAGGCGACUUCCUGGUCCUAUACUGACGCUGAGACGCGAGAGCGUGGGGAGCAAACAG
This 208-nucleotide ribosomal RNA is filed under the name uncultured Syntrophus sp. RNAcentral describes it as "partial 16S ribosomal RNA". It matches the Rfam family "Bacterial small subunit ribosomal RNA", at positions 568 to 775 of the family's 1533-position model. Lineage: Bacteria; Pseudomonadati; Thermodesulfobacteriota; Syntrophia; Syntrophales; Syntrophaceae. The record is from RNAcentral.